RNAcentral lists this ribosomal RNA (253 nucleotides) under uncultured bacterium. RNAcentral's name for it is "partial 16S ribosomal RNA". It matches the Rfam family "Bacterial small subunit ribosomal RNA", at positions 524 to 776 of the family's 1533-position model. The record is from RNAcentral.
UACGGAGGGGGCUAGCGUUGUUCGGAAUUACUGGGCUUAAAGCGCGCGUAGGCGGACUUCUAAGUCGGGGGUGAAAUCCCGGGGCUCAACCCCUGAACUGCCUUCGAUACUGGGAGUCUGGAGUUCGAGAGAGGUGAGUGGAAUUCCGAGUGUAGAGGUGAAAUUCGUAGAUAUUCGGAGGAACACCAGUGGCGAAGGCGGCUCACUGGCUCGAUACUGACACUGAGGUGCGAAAGCGUUGGGAGCAAACAGG